RNAcentral lists this long non-coding RNA (249 nucleotides) under Brachypodium distachyon (stiff brome). RNAcentral describes it as "long non-coding RNA (BDIS_LNC005212)". The record is from RNAcentral. Lineage: Eukaryota; Viridiplantae; Streptophyta; Magnoliopsida; Poales; Poaceae.
AGCACGUGGUUGGCGAGUCCCCGGGUACGCAAGGCUAAAACACGAGAAGGACAAGCCCCUCCUCGGCUAGCUAGUCUUAGGCAAAGAAUCAAAUAAAAGUUGCAUUGGAUAUAUUGAAGCUUGAGCAAAACAAGUUGACAAAUAACACUGGUGAUGAUAAGGGAAAGCUACCAUAAAAGGUUCUAAGGCGCCACGCGCCACUUGCAGGGAAAUAAAAAAAAAGGAGAGAAGGAAGGGAACUACGCGGGA